GUAAAUCCUCAGUUUUCUCUUCUCAGAAUUCUUCAACCAUAUCGAGAUUCGAACCUCCCCUGGAAUUAAAUACCUCUUAUAGCUCCGUUAAAUGAAUCGGCAUCAAAUAUGGACAUACAUGUUCGAAUUCAAAAUUUCCAUUCAUGGCACUGACAUUGGAUUCAUGGGUGGGCCCAUUUGUCACGCUGGUAUUAGCACUUCUUACAGGCCAUUGACAACUGAGGAUUAGUGAGCUACAUCACCAACUUAGAUUCAUCAUUUCAUGAUGGAUGGUUAUCUUCAUGUGGUUUGGAGAUGGUGACAUCUUGGUUUGCCAUGGAGGAUUCUUGAGUCUUCAUUGAGGUGUCAACUUAUGAUAUGUUCUUCAAGGAGCAUAUGAUAUUGGACUUUGAGGAGAGGUUGCAUUUGAAGUUAGCAUGGAUUGAUUGGUGGAUGCUCAUGUAGACUAUAGAGACUUGGGUGAGGCUAUGAGAUCUCAUCUUUUUUGGGAUUGUGUGUUGAGAUAAUUACUCUUUGAUGAGGAUUACAAUAGAAAGAACAAGGAGUCUACACCUGGUUAUGCAUGUGAACCUAUUAUGGAUCUAAAGAGAAGGUUAAUUCAUCUUGAGAAUUGUGAAAAUGCAAUUAGAUGUCAAACUAAUAAGGUAUCCACCUUUGUCCAAAUUGCAUAAGGAUUUUGGGUGUUUAAUAAGGACCUCAAGCUUGUGAAGACAUGACAAAGGUGAAAAGAAAGACAUUUUUUCUUACCAUAAUAAGCUUCUAUUACAUGGACAUAAAUUACAGUGAUAAGGUUUACACACCCAAAAAUGCUACUUUAAAAGUUUUAGAGCUCUUCCUUAUGCAAACUUCCUAAAUCACCUCUAAACGACCAUCACAAAUCUUUGAGCACCUACCUCUUUCUUAGGUAUGUCCUCCUUUCUACCUUACAUUUCCUACCACGAUUAAUGAAUUUGUAAUUAUUUGUCCCUUCAACCUACCUCUCUCCUCAUAUUACUUCCCGCCAUUUUAUAUAACUCAUUUUAAUUUCUCAAG
Molecule: long non-coding RNA, 1032 nt
Organism: Cryptomeria japonica (Japanese cedar)
Lineage: Eukaryota; Viridiplantae; Streptophyta; Pinopsida; Cupressales; Cupressaceae
Exons: 4
Source: RefSeq, a predicted model, not a curated record